UGGAUCAGCACGGAUUGACGACGACGUU
RNAcentral lists this non-coding RNA (28 nucleotides) under Scrippsiella trochoidea. The record is from RNAcentral. Lineage: Eukaryota; Dinophyceae; Peridiniales; Peridiniaceae.